This 484-nucleotide ribosomal RNA is filed under the name uncultured bacterium. RNAcentral describes it as "partial 16S ribosomal RNA". It matches the Rfam family "Bacterial small subunit ribosomal RNA", at positions 30 to 507 of the family's 1533-position model. The record is from RNAcentral.
AUUGAACGCUGGCGGCAGGCCUAACACAUGCAAGUCGAGCGGAUGAAGGGAGCUUGCUCCUGGAUUCAGCGGCGGACGGGUGAGUAAUGCCUAGGAAUCUGCCUGGUAGUGGGGGAUAACGUCCGGAAACGGGCGCUAAUAGCGCAUACGUCCUGAGGGAGAAAGUGGGGGAUCUUCGGACCUCACGCUAUCAGAUGAGCCUAGGUCGGAUUAGCUAGUUGGUGGGGUAAAGGCCUACCAAGGCGACGAUCCGUAACUGGUCUGAGAGGAUGAUCAGUCACACUGGAACUGAGACACGGUCCAGACUCCUACGGGAGGCAGCAGUGGGGAAUAUUGGACAAUGGGCGAAAGCCUGAUCCAGCCAUGCCGCGUGUGUGAAGAAGGUCUUCGGAUUGUAAAGCACUUUAAGUUGGGAGGAAGGGCAGUAAGUUAAUACCUUGCUGUUUUGACGUUACCAACAGAAUAAGCACCGGCUAACUUCGUG